CCAAUAGCGUAUAUUAAAGUUGUUGCAGUUAAAAAGCUCGUAGUUGAAUUUCGGGAUCAAUAUAUUGGUCGUGCCUCCGGUACGUACUGGUAUCGUUGAUUUCUACCUUCUGACGAACCAUGAUGUCAUUAAUUUGGUGUCAUGGGAAAUCAGGACUGUUACUUUGAAAAAAUUAGAGUGUUUAAAGCAGGCACACGCUUGAAUACAUUAGCAUGGAAUAAUGAAAUAGGACGUUUGACCCUAUUUUGUUGGUUUCUAGGAUCGACGUAAUGAUUAAUAGGGAUAGUUGGGGGCAUUAGUAUUCAAUUGUCAGAGGUGAAAUUCUUGGAUUUAUUGAAGACUAACUACUGCGAAAGCACUUGCCAAGGAUGUUUUCAUUAAUCAAGAACGAAAGUUAGGGGAUCGAAGACGAUCAGAUACCGUUGUAGUCUUAACCAUAAACUAUGCCGACUAGGGAUCGGAUGAUGUUAAUUUUUUAAUGACUCAUUCGGCGCCUUACG
Molecule: ribosomal RNA, 500 nt
Filed under: uncultured Glomeromycotina
Lineage: Eukaryota; Fungi; Glomeromycota
Description: partial small subunit ribosomal RNA
Rfam family: Eukaryotic small subunit ribosomal RNA
Source: RNAcentral